RNAcentral lists this ribosomal RNA (301 nucleotides) under uncultured bacterium. Its description in RNAcentral is "partial 16S ribosomal RNA". It matches the Rfam family "Bacterial small subunit ribosomal RNA", at positions 509 to 809 of the family's 1533-position model. The record is from RNAcentral.
CAGCCGCCGCGGGAAUACGGAGGGUGCAAGCGUUAACCGGAAUUACUGGGCGUAAAGCGUGCGUAGGCGGUUCGUUAAGUCUGUUGUGAAAGCCCCGGGCUCAACCUGGGAACUGCAUUUGUGACUGCAUGGCUAGAGUACGGUAGAGGGGGAUGGAAUUCCGCGUGUAGCAGUGAAAUGCGUAGAUAUGCGGAGGAACACCGAUGGCGAAGGCGGCUUACUGGCUCAUACUGGACGCUGAGGUGCGAAAGCGUGGGGAGCAAACAGGAUUAGAUACCCCUGUAGUCCCUGUCUCUUAUAA